AAGUUUCAUAAAAAAAAAAAACCAACCAUGGAUUUCUACUAAAUCAACGCACAAAAUUCGUUUUUGGUGAAGAUCAAGUUGCUCCUCUUGGUAUAUAAACCCUUGAAAAAAAUCAAAGGGGAAGUGUUUGAGGAAGUGGAUAGAUUUGGUUUGUUUACGGCGUAGACGAUUCGAACGUCCCCAAGUUGUGAUUGAACUGUUUUGUGGUAAAACACCAAGAAAAUGUUCGGGAUGAAAUCUGAAGAUGGCCAGGGUGAAGUAGUCUCUUUGGGAGAAUUUAUGGAGAUCACAUUUGCAUAUGCACCUUGGU
Non-coding RNA from Nicotiana tabacum (common tobacco), 310 nucleotides. NCBI's taxonomy places the organism in Eukaryota, Viridiplantae, Streptophyta, Magnoliopsida, Solanales, Solanaceae. The record is from RefSeq and is a predicted model, not a curated record.